UGUGAGGUGCGGUCCCUGGCUCAGUCCUGAGAGAUGGAGUCAAAGGCUCCCGUGCUGUGGAUCCUGCUGCUUUUGGUUCCAGGCUCCACUGGGGACAUUGUGCUGACCCAGGCUCCAGCUUCCUUGGCUGUGGCUCCAGGAGAGAAGGCCAUCCUCUACUGCAGGUCCAGCAAGAGUGUUAAUAAAUUUGGAAUCGAGCUUCUGCACUGGUAUCAGCAUAAGCCAGGCCAGCCUCCCAAACUCCUGACCGAUACCGCAUAUAGCAAUGCUGCUGGGGUGCCAGAGCGGUUCAGUGGUUGGGACAAUGGGACACACUUCACCCUCACCAUUCACCCUGUGGAGCUCGAGGAUGCUGCAGACUACUUCUGUCAGCAGGGGAUAGAGAGCCCUCCCACAGUGCUCUAG
Octodon degus (degu) is the source of this 405-nucleotide non-coding RNA. Lineage: Eukaryota; Metazoa; Chordata; Mammalia; Rodentia; Octodontidae. The record is from the annotation of a RefSeq genome assembly.